This 408-nucleotide ribosomal RNA is filed under the name uncultured bacterium. RNAcentral's name for it is "bacterial SSU rRNA". It matches the Rfam family "Bacterial small subunit ribosomal RNA", at positions 509 to 916 of the family's 1533-position model. The record is from RNAcentral.
CAGCAGCCGCGGUAAUACGAAGGGGGCUAGCGUUGUUCGGAAUUACUGGGCGUAAAGGGCGCGUAGGCGGCUCUGUGCGUCGGGCGUGAAAGGCCUGGGCUCAACCCAGGAAUGGCGCUCGAUACGGCGGAGCUCGAGUGUGGGAGAGGAUGGUGGAAUUCCCAGUGUAGAGGUGAAAUUCGUAGAUAUUGGGAAGAACACCGGUGGCGAAGGCGGCCAUCUGGACCACAACUGACGCUGAGGCGCGAAAGCGUGGGGAGCAAACAGGAUUAGAUACCCUGGUAGUCCACGCCGUAAACGAUGUGCGCUAGACGUUGGGGGACCUAGUCUCCCGGUGUCGCCGCUAACGCAUUAAGCGCACCGCCUGGGGAGUACGACCGCAAGGUUGAAACUCAAAGGAAUUGACGG